This 752-nucleotide non-coding RNA is filed under the name Trissolcus basalis. The record is from RNAcentral. Lineage: Eukaryota; Metazoa; Arthropoda; Insecta; Hymenoptera; Scelionidae.
UUUUAUAUUAUUAUAGUAAAUUAAUUUAAUUGAAAAUUUUUAAUUUAUAUAAAAAAAUUUUUGAAAAUAAAAUAAAGUAAUAUUUAAAAUUAAUUAAUUAAUUAAUUUUUGAAUUAGAAAUUUUAAAAAACUUUAACAAAUAAAUGUGCCAGCAGUUGCGGUUAAACAAUUAAAGUAAUUUAAAUUAUUAAAUAAUUAUUAUUAUUUAAUAAAAAUUAUUAUAAAUUUAAAAUUUUAGGUGAAAUUUAAAUUUUAUAUAUAUAUWUUUUUUUWAAAAAAAUGUCUUUGGUAUAAAAUUAAACUAGGAUUAGAUACCCUAUUAUUUAUAUUUAAGUUUUAUAUUAUUGAUUAGUAAAUGUUGAAUCAUUAAAUUUAAUGAAUAUGGGGGUAAUUUAAAGAUUUAGGGGAACUUGAAAUAUAAAUUGAUAAUCCACGAUUUAAUUUACUUUAUUUUUUUUUUUGUUUUGUAUGUUUGUUUAAUUAAUUUAAUUUUAAAAAAUUAUUUAUAAUUUUUGUUAAAAAAUUAUUCAAAUCAAUAUUUACUUAUAAUAAAGAAAUUUUGAGUUACAAUAAAUUUAAUUUUUGAAUAAAAUUUUUAAAAAAUGUUUUUGAAAUUGGAUUUAAAAGUAAAAUUUUUGAAAAAUUUAAUUUUGAAUAAAUUUUAAAUUGUCUACAAACUGCCCGUCACUCUUUUUUAAUAAAGAUAAGUCGUAACAAGGUAAAUAUAUUGGAAAAUAUAUUUAGAAUUUUUU